CCUACGGGAGGCAGCAGUGAGGAAUAUUGGUCAAUGGACGCAAGUCUGAACCAGCCAUGCCGCGUGCAGGAAGAAGGCUCUAUGAGUUGUAAACUGCUUUUGUACGGGGGUAAACGCAGAUACGUGUACCUGUCUGAAAGUACCGUACGAAUAAGGAUCGGCUAACUCCGUGCCAGCAGCCGCGGUAAUACGGAGGGUGCGAGCGUUAUCCGGAUUUAUUGGGUUUAAAGGGUGCGUAGGCGGUCUGGUAAGUUAGAGGUGAAAUCCCGAGGCUCAACUUGGGAAUUGCCUCUGAUACUGUUCGGCUAGAGUGUAGGUGAGGUAGGCGGAAUGUAUGGUGUAGCGGUGAAAUGCUUAGAGAUC
RNAcentral lists this ribosomal RNA (363 nucleotides) under uncultured bacterium. RNAcentral's name for it is "partial 16S ribosomal RNA". It matches the Rfam family "Bacterial small subunit ribosomal RNA", at positions 338 to 698 of the family's 1533-position model. The record is from RNAcentral.